AGGACGAACGCUGGCGGCGUGCUUAACACGUGCAAGUCGAGCGGAAAGGCCCUUCGGGGUACUCGAGCGGCGAACGGGUGAGUAACACGUGAGUAAUCUGCCCUUAGCUCUGGGAUAGCUCCGGGAAACCGGGAUUAAUACCAGAUACGACCACUUUAGACAUCUGCCGUGGUGGAAAGAAUUUCGGCUAAGGAUGAGCUCGCGGCCUAUCAGCUUGUUGGUGGGGUAACGGCCUACCAAGGCGACGACGGGUAGCCGGCCUGAGAGGGCGACCGGCCACACUGGGACUGAGACACGGCCCAGACUCCUACGGGAGGCAGCAGUGGGGAAUAUUGCGCAAUGGGCGAAAGCCUGACGCAGCGACGCCGCGUGGGGGAUGAAGGCCUUCGGGUUGUAAACCCCUUUCAGCAGGGACGAAGCGAAAGUGACGGUACCUGCAGAAGAAGCGCCGGCUAACUACGUGCCAGCAGCCGC
Molecule: ribosomal RNA, 474 nt
Filed under: uncultured bacterium
Lineage: Bacteria
Description: SSU rRNA
Rfam family: Bacterial small subunit ribosomal RNA
Source: RNAcentral